This 652-nucleotide long non-coding RNA is filed under the name Anser brachyrhynchus (Pink-footed goose). RNAcentral's name for it is "lncRNA (ENSABRG00000021451.1)". The record is from RNAcentral. Lineage: Eukaryota; Metazoa; Chordata; Aves; Anseriformes; Anatidae.
UCACCGGCUGGGUGGGCUGCGCGCCCAGCAGAUCCCGAGGGGCUGCUGUGAUCUACUGGGAGAUCCCUGCACUACGGCCAGGCUGCUGCUGCCUGUCUCUGUCGAGAUCUGUGCGAUAUCCACGCGUAGAGGUACCUAUGGCACUGGUAGAGGUACCUAUGGCACUGGUAGAGGUACCUAUGGCACUGGUAGAGGUACCUAUAGGACUGGUAGCGGUACCUAUAGGACUGGUAGCGGUACCUGAGGCACUGGUAGCGGUACCUAUAGCACUGGUAGCGGUACCCGUGGCAUCAGUAGAGGUACCUAUAGCAUCGAUAGAGGUACCCGAGGCACCGGUAGAGGUACCUAUAGCACUGAUAGGGGUAUCCAUGAUGUUGAUAGAGGUACCUGAGGCACUGGUAGAGGUACCUAUAGCACCGGUAGCGGUACCUAUAGCACCAGUAGAGGUACCCGAGGCGCUGGUAGAGGUACCUAUAGCACCGGUAGCGGUACCUAUAGCACCAGUAGAGGUACCCGAGGCGCCGGUAGAGGCACCUCCCUCCUCCUCCUCCUCCUCUUCAUCCCGCUGACCCCUCUCCGUCCCGCAGGCGCUCCCGCACCGUCAGCCGUCGCCGUCCGCUCGCGCCGGACGCCAGCCCCGGACCCCAGGCCC